This 256-nucleotide ribosomal RNA is filed under the name uncultured bacterium. RNAcentral's name for it is "partial 16S ribosomal RNA". It matches the Rfam family "Bacterial small subunit ribosomal RNA", at positions 524 to 776 of the family's 1533-position model. The record is from RNAcentral.
UACGGAGGGUGCAAGCGUUAUCCGGAUUCACUGGGUUUAAAGGGUGCGUAGGCGGGUAGGUAAGUCCGUGGUGAAAUCUCUGAGCUUAACUCAGAAACUGCCAUGGAUACUAUUUGCCUUGAAUAUUGUGGAGGUGAGCGGAAUAUGUCAUGUAGCGGUGAAAUGCUUAGAUAUGACAUAGAACACCAAUUGCGAAGGCAGCUCACUACACAAAUGAUUGACGCUGGAGGCACGAAAGCCGUGGGGAUCAAACAGG